AGCUGUCCGGCUUGACUCCGCCUCGUUGGCUUUUGGUUCCGUAUGACCGUUAAGCCAAACGCGACCGUUUCGAGCUGUGUAUGUUCAAAUCAUACUCACCAAAUGAACGAUACAUGUUUAACUGCCAUUUUAUUAACCUAGUAUAGUAAAACCUCUUCAAAACAUUAGCUUAUGCGCAUUACUACCUUACUUCUCACCGAGCGCUAAUUCUACAUGCCUGGAUGUAGUAGAAUGAGGACGACCUCACUUCUUCUGCUUACAAAAGGUACCUGCAACCUGGAUCGUACCUCACUUGAAUCGCCCUGGACCGAAGGAGAAUUGGUGGAGUUCAAUUUCUACUACAGAGUGAUUUUUCUCUUUUCACAAGCAAGUGUUAAUGUACUGGAAAAUGUUGUAUAAACAUAAUUUUAUUCCAUGUUAUACCAACAUGGAAUAAUAGGUGUGUCUUUUAUAGACAGAAAUAAUUUUUUUAAGGAAUGGGUGGAGGGCGGCACGGUGGAGCAGUGGGUAGCGCUGUCGCCUCACAGCAAGAAGGGCCUGGGUUCGAUUCCCGGCCGGGCGACCAGGGUCGUCUCUGUGUGGAGUUUGCAUGUUCUCCC
Long non-coding RNA from Colossoma macropomum (tambaqui), 599 nucleotides. RefSeq lists it as uncharacterized. The record is from RefSeq and is a predicted model, not a curated record. The transcript is spliced from 3 exons. NCBI's taxonomy places the organism in Eukaryota, Metazoa, Chordata, Actinopteri, Characiformes, Serrasalmidae.